This is an RNA transcript of Chinchilla lanigera (long-tailed chinchilla), 5299 nucleotides long. RefSeq lists it as uncharacterized. The record is from RefSeq and is a predicted model, not a curated record. NCBI's taxonomy places the organism in Eukaryota, Metazoa, Chordata, Mammalia, Rodentia, Chinchillidae. The transcript is spliced from 3 exons.
UUGACCGUACUCAAACCCUAAACAGAGUCUCCAGGCCACCCGGCUCGAUGAGAGGACAGGAAGCCAAGGCUGGUGCUCAGGUCAGUGUCUACUGACCAUUCUCAGCAAACAGACCAGUGCUGCUGGAGGACAAGACGAAGAUGGUCUGAAGCUGUGUGUUCUGGUGACCCCUGCAGCCUGGCGCUGCACAGAGACCAGGUCACCACAUCAGGACCAACAGCUCCAGCACUUGAGGCUAAAACUGCAGUGAAGAAAGAGACCAACGGUAGCCAGGGACGAUGAUGCACACCUGCAAUCUCAGCACUCAGAAGGCUCCCAUGGCGCAGGAACGAGCAGACCACAAGGCCCGGAGCAAGGCCAGCGCAGCUGGGGCCUCCUCCGUUGCCUCACAGAGGACAGCUGGGGCCACCAGGCACAUGGCAGAGGGCAGCAGGGCAGUUCUGGGGACCAAAGCAGCCAUCCCGUCUCUGUUCCUGAGGACAUCGGGCUGGCGCCUGGCCUGAGGAGCACACAGGCUGCACUCUUCCCCAUGAGCACCUGCUGGUAACCAGGACAUGGGACAGGGUAGCAUCUGUCUACAUUCACCAUCCCAGGAUGAGGUACAAACCAAUAGCGAGGGCUGAACACCUCAGCGAGGGGCCCUGCAGAUGAUACCCCUCUGCCUCACAUGUGCACCCUUGCCAUAUGUACCCGUGUACACCCGUUCUGGGGUCCCCAACAAUUCCCUGAUAGCUGCCAACAGCCAGCCCUCGUGUCUGGCAAGCAAGGCACCAACCCCAACAGCUCCCAUGGCCUUCUCCCAUGACAGAAGCACCCCUGAAGAGAGGUGGGCCAACGGAUAUACAGGAAGGGAACAAGUUACUGGAAGGAGAGGUAUUUCCCAGCCACACCACGUCCUGCCUCCUGGCACCUGCAUCAUCCCCGGCUUCUUCAAAGCCUGGGUCCAACUGAGAUGCCCAGGUCUCUCCUGUGUGUGUGGACAGUGGUCAAAGCACCCCAAGAUCACGUCUGAGCACCAGAUGUGAACACCUAACCAUGCCAUGUGUACAGUCUCCGUCUGUGAGUCCAGGUCUCCCUGGAUGGGAACCAGAGUUCGCUACACUGCUGCACGCAUCGCUCUCCUGUGGCCCGUGGUGCUUUCCAUGACCGGAGUCACUGUUCUGGGCCUCUUACUGGUUGGAGCCUCGCUCUGAAAUGACACCAGGAAGAGCUAGCUGUCAACCCUGGUGUUGUGUGGAGGCACCAGGUGGGGCAGGAGGUGGGAGCAAAGGAGUGGGGGUUCCAGAGAGGAGCAGCCAAAGCUUGAAGGCCACCCUUCACAAUCCCUCCCCAAAGUUCCUGUUUCUGAUAUCGCUGCAGCCUACAGACUUUCAGAUAAGCCCCCAAACUUGUCCCAAAAGCUAAGAAUGCCUUCCCCUGAGAAAAACCACAGUCCAGUCAGCUCCCAAGUCCACGUGCCUAACUGGUACCUUCUGAGCUUUGUCGUCUGGCAGGCAGAAUGGUGACGAGCCUGCUGCCACAGGAGGAGUAGAGGGGGAGGGCUCAGGGGAAGGGCACAGAGAAGGGACAUCACCACAGGUGCCUGGGGUGGCGGGACCCGAGGAGAAGAUGGCGCCUGUGCAGCCUGGAGCACCCUGGAAGUAUCUAAGCCACGUGGGCAGCGAGGGGUGCUGAGGUCCCUGGGAGGAACAGGGACAACAAGGCUGAGGCCUGUGUCCAGGCAGAGAGCAAGGGGACACCCAAGGGCACCGGUGCAGUGGGAGGGCACUGAGCAGCCAGCGAAGGCCGGAUGCAGUUGGAUACAGCACAAGUCAGGGAGGUGGCAACAGCUGACUGGAGUGCUAUUUAUAAACAGCACUCAUCGGGGGCCAGAAAGGAAAAGGCAAAGGUGAAUGGUUAGGCCACUGAAAGAACAAGCCGGAUGUGGCACAGGCCACCUUCGAAGCCCAAGAACAGCAGAGGGCAGCCCCUCCCAGCUGCACAGCACAGGGAGCUCUGCUUACAGUUCUCUCACUGACAGCUACUGGGGUAAAGUGGUAUCACCCAUUCAGACAACCAGGCUUGGCACAGCUAGGGGCUCAGCCACGGCUCACAGCACACAGAAGCCACGCAGGUCAGGUGUCCACAAGAGGCUUCCCGACUGCGUCAUGCUUCCAAAAUGCUUCCUGAAAAACAGCACCCAGCUCAGGUGUGCUUUCUGCACAACAGCCAGAGGAGCGUGCCCAUCUCUUCUCAGGGCUGCCGAGGAAGAAGAAGAGCACAAGCUGGGGGCGCUGCAAAGGCCCCAGAUGGCAUCUGGUAUAGAGUAAGCUAGGUCCACCAGUCAGAGAACGAGUUAUAAACAGCACCAAGCAAAGGAGAAUCUGCUCACAGCUCUAGCACACGGUGCAGAUGGGGAGCCCAAGUAGGAGCACAUCCUCCUCAAGGGGCUAAGCUGGGGAGUGGGGACUCAGAGGAGGAAGUGCUCAACUGCCCAAGGGCCAAUCUGGUCAUGGGAGUGGGCUCUAGACACAAACAAGACUGAAGAAGAACAAACAGAAGCUAAGUGUGGUGCCACAGGCCUGUAAUCCCAGCACUCUGGGAGACCGAGGCAGGAGGACUGCACGUUAGAGCCCAGCAUGGGCAAUUCAGUGACUUAGCAAGAGCCUGCCUCAAAAUUAAGAAAUUUUUAGAAAGGGCUGAGGAUGUACCAGUCUGUGAAGGGCUUGGCUUGAAUCCCCAGUACCCCACCCCCAGUCAAAAGAAGAAAUAGAGGAAAAAAACAUUCAUAUAACACAGACACGCCAAGUGUCCUAAGGGCCACAAGAGAUCUAAGCAGUGUGGGGCAAGAGAACGGCAGAAGCUGGGCGCAGACCUCAGGUCUCUGGACUCAAGUUGAUAGCUCAUACACUCUCUCUCUCCCUCAACAAACCAGUGUAUAUAACAUCUGGUUUUUUCCUAAAACCAGCCAGAGUGGAUUUCUGUUGCUUAUAGCUGAAUGCCUUGGGCACACAGAGCCAUCGACAGCAGUAGCCUCAUAGCAAAGUAGGGUCAGAGCACCCUCCUUCCACAUCCUGUCUGACUGUAGGAGACCCUGGCAUGCAGACAGGGCAAAGAUUCCGAUGCCUGCUUUGCAAAUGGAAAAGCCAGAGUGGGGCUGGAGGUAAGCAUUCUGUGAGGUGGGCCCCGCAUCUCCCUAAGUCUCCUGACCACCCCAAAGGCCAGCAGCUGAGACAUCAGGCCAAGGCUCUCACCUCGUCUGAGGGUCACCUUCCCAUUCCUUCUAUCUCACCAUGGAGCUGAGCGUGAAAUGUCCUGGACCCCAACCUCGCACCCAUGUUUAGAAAGCCAAAUUCUUCACAAGUCAAUUUCCAGGCAAGUCAGAGGUUUACCAAGGAACAGAUGUGCUGAAGCUCCAGGGAGACAAGAAGCUAUUUUAACCUCGAAUGAGCUGCUGUUCAGACUGUCACAGUCUGCAAGGGAAAGCAAGAUGCUGUGUCUAGUGUGAUCUACAAGGGAUAAGAUGCUAAUGAGAACCAAUGCGAGAUACAAGUCAGGACCGGCACAUUUAUUUGUAGAGGGAGACAGUGCGCCAGCAAGCUCUGACGAUCCUCACCUACACCACUUCCUGGGAAAGUGUUUCUUUUUGACUCAUGCUCCCAGCUGAAAGGCUCACACGGCUGAGCCAUCAGGGGUCAAGUCUGGCUCUGCCAAGUGCCUGCCGUUGGACCCUGGGCGCUCUCUGGUUUCUCUGAGGCAAGUGCGUGACUCCACCUCCAGGGGGCACAGAGCAAGGUCUCCAUCAGCACCAACCAUGUGACAAUGACAAAGGCUGGCACUUGUGUGUCUUCAGGAUGAUGCCAUCUCACUGCCCAAAAGGGUCACAUGGCACCUGCACCACGCACACUUCACCACUGUGCUACACGCUGCACCAUGUGCCCGGAGGAGACCUCGCCCUUGCACCCUUGUCCACCUGCAUGCAGAGGACCUGAGUUCUAUCAGAGGCGGCUAGUCAGCGUGCAGGGGCUGGGGACAGGGCAGAGUUCAGGCCCCUUCUCCCCUCUGGCUCUGCUCCUGGUCCCUUCCUCACCCUGGCCCCACUCCGCCCCUCACAGGCUUUCCAGCACCAUGGCUGGAUCAGGUUCUGGGAGGAUGUGGCCCAGGGAACCAAGCCUAGCAGGGACCAAGAUCCAUCAGCCAAACCCAGAAGAGAAGCAGGGUACCUGAAUCCACACGAGGCUCAAAGUUUCCACCUCCAAGGACCAGCAGUUUGCACUGGCUCUCACUCCCAGAGCAGAAGGCACCUGCCUAGGUCAGGACUCCAGAAUUCAAAUGACUGCAAGAAUGCACCAGGGCCAGCACCACAACAGCAGAGGGCGGGGGCUGUCCUUGAAAGGGCAAAGGAAAGUGCACUUUCUCCAGACAGAGCCACACUUUAUAGCUCUUUACAGCCUGAAUCAAAACAGCCCUGGAGCCUGGAGCAUGGCUCUUACUCCCCACAGACGCCAUCUCCACAGCAACUACUUUUCCCCUGGAGCACUUUCAAGAGCAGAGCGCUGUCUCUGCUGCAGCCAGGUCAAGGCCUGAGCCCUGGCUGGCUUCACACCAGGCUCCACUCCACCGGGAAGGGUGGGGGUGGUGCCCGCGGGUGCCGAGGAGUGGGGGGCACAGCGUGGGUAAUGAGCUGGAAGGUGUAUGUGGGAUACAGGAGUGGGGUGUGCAUGGCAAUGCAGGUUGGGAAGCCAGGGUGCAGGGUGUACACCGGAGGUGUGGGUAGGGUCCUUCUACAGCCCAAACUGAGUGGGGAGGGGCACACAACUUCCCUAGAAACAAUGAAUUAAGGACUUGCAUGUCAACUCCGCAUUGAAAUUCUUAGGGCUUGAACCACAGCUCAGCCGCAUCCCAGUCCAGUCCAAAUGUCGGCGCUAUCAUGUUCCUGUCUCAGCCGCCCAGUCUGGUGACUUAAACAACGCUAUUAUAUGUUGUGGCUGGUGUUACCAAGGCCUCCCUGAGGAGGGACAGGAAACUGGAAAGCUAAGGAACCUUAAAAGCCAAGAACUGUUUAAAACAUACCGUGCCAGUUUGAAACACCGACUCAGAAGCAGCUGUCUCAGGGCAACCCAGAUUUCUAGCAAGAAUACCCAUCAGUCCAGAGUUCGGACUCGUCUGGAUGACAAAGCACAAGGCAGCCCAUGCCUGGUCCAGCUAGUCCUUGUCCUUCCCGAGGGACUAGGGUUAGUCCUUCCUCCACUGCACUCAGGAGGCUAAGGCAGGAAGAUCACCACAAGUUCAAGGGCAGCAUGGGAUACAUAGUGAGUUC